This 351-nucleotide ribosomal RNA is filed under the name uncultured bacterium. Its description in RNAcentral is "bacterial SSU rRNA". It matches the Rfam family "Bacterial small subunit ribosomal RNA", at positions 29 to 407 of the family's 1533-position model. The record is from RNAcentral.
AACGAACGCUGGCGGCAUGCCUAACACAUGCAAGUCGAACGAGACCUUCGGGUCUAGUGGCGCACGGGUGCGUAACGCGUGGGAAUCUGCCCUUGGGUACGGAAUAACAGUUAGAAAUGACUGCUAAUACCGUAUAAUGACUUCGGUCCAAAGAUUUAUCGCCCAAGGAUGAGCCCGCGUAGGAUUAGCUUGUUGGUGAGGUAAAAGCUCACCAAGGCGACGAUCCUUAGCUGGUCUGAGAGGAUGAUCAGCCACACUGGGACUGAGACACGGCCCAGACUCCUACGGGAGGCAGCAGUGGGGAAUAUUGGACAAUGGGCGAAAGCCUGAUCCAGCAAUGCCGCGUGGAGU